Molecule: small nuclear RNA, 130 nt
Filed under: Chinchilla lanigera (long-tailed chinchilla)
Lineage: Eukaryota; Metazoa; Chordata; Mammalia; Rodentia; Chinchillidae
Description: U4 spliceosomal RNA (ENSCLAG00000020732.1)
Rfam family: U4 spliceosomal RNA
About the family: U4 small nuclear RNA (U4 snRNA) is a component of the major U2-dependent spliceosome. The structure of U4 snRNA from yeast and human has been reported.
Source: Rfam by way of RNAcentral
AGCUUUGCACAGUGGUAGUAUCAUAGCCAAUGAGGUUUAUCAGAGGUGUGAUUAUUGCUAAUUGAAAAAGAAAUGUUAGCAAUCAAAAACACUGUAACUGAAGUGCAAAAUGACUGAUGGGCUUGUUAGC